CCUACGGGUGGCAGCAGUGAGGAAUAUUGCACAAUGGGCGCGAGCCUGAACCAGCCACGUAGCGUGAAGGAUGACUGCCCUACGGGUUUUAAACUUCUUUUAUAAAGGAAUAAAGUGAGGCACGUGUGCCUUUUUGUAUUUACUUUAUGAAUAAGGAUCGGCUAACUACGUUCCAGCAGCCGCGGUAAUACGGAGGGUCCGAGCGUUAUCCGGAUUUAUUGGGUGUAAAGGGAGCGUAGAUGGGUUGUUAAGUCAGUUGUGAAAGUUUGCGGCUCAACCGUAAAAUUGCAAUUGAUACUGGCAGUCUUGAGUACAGUUGAGGUAGGCGGAAUUCGUGGUGUAGCGGUGAAAUGCUUAGAUAUCACGAAGAACUCCGAUUGCGAAGGCAGCUUACUAAACUGCCACUGACACUGAUGCUCGAAAGUGUGGGUAGCAAACAGGAUUAGAUACCCUGGUAGUC
This 460-nucleotide ribosomal RNA is filed under the name uncultured bacterium. RNAcentral's name for it is "partial 16S ribosomal RNA". It matches the Rfam family "Bacterial small subunit ribosomal RNA", at positions 338 to 795 of the family's 1533-position model. The record is from RNAcentral.